Sarcophilus harrisii (Tasmanian devil) is the source of this 100-nucleotide small nuclear RNA. Lineage: Eukaryota; Metazoa; Chordata; Mammalia; Dasyuromorphia; Dasyuridae. The record is from Ensembl.
GCUUGCUUCAGCAGAUGCUAAAAUUGGAAUGAUACAAAGAAGAUUAGAAUGGUCCCUGUGCAAGGAUGACCUGCAAGUUCAUGAAACAUUUCAUAUUUUU